GCCUGGGUAGCUCAGUCGGUUAAGCGUCUGACUUCGGCUCAGGGUUCGUGGGUUCAAGCCCCACAUCGGGCU
Molecule: transfer RNA, 72 nt
Organism: Felis catus (domestic cat)
Lineage: Eukaryota; Metazoa; Chordata; Mammalia; Carnivora; Felidae
Rfam family: tRNA
About the family: Transfer RNA (tRNA) molecules are approximately 80 nucleotides in length. Their secondary structure includes four short double-helical elements and three loops (D, anti-codon, and T loops). Further hydrogen bonds mediate the characteristic L-shaped molecular structure. tRNAs have two regions of fundamental functional importance: the anti-codon, which is responsible for specific mRNA codon recognition, and the 3' end, to which the tRNAs corresponding amino acid is attached (by aminoacyl-tRNA synthetases). tRNAs cope with the degeneracy of the genetic code in two manners: having more than one tRNA (with a specific anti-codon) for a particular amino acid; and 'wobble' base-pairing, i.e. permitting non-standard base-pairing at the 3rd anti-codon position.
Source: Rfam